GGACGCCAGUUCAUGUGGAGCCAACGUUGAAAUACCACUCUGGUCGUACUAGAUGUCUAACCUAGGUCCGUUAUCCGGAUCAGGGACAGUGCCUGAUGGGUAGUUUAACUGGGGCGGUUGCCUCCUAAAGAGUAACGGAGGCGCCCAAAGGUUCCCUCAGAAUGGUUGGAAAUCAUUCGCAGAGUGUAAAGGCACAAGGGAGCUUGACUGUGAGACAGACAUGUCGAGCAGGGACGAAAGUCGGGACUAGUGAUCUGACGGUGGCUUGUGGAUGCGCCGUCACUCAACGGAUAAAAGGUACCCCGGGGAUAACAGGCUGAUCUUGCCCGAGCGUCCAUAGCGACGGCAUGGUUUGGCACCUCGAUGUCGGCUCGUCGCAUCCUGG
RNAcentral lists this ribosomal RNA (385 nucleotides) under Chloropicon mariensis. RNAcentral describes it as "partial Bacterial large subunit ribosomal RNA". It matches the Rfam family "Bacterial large subunit ribosomal RNA", at positions 2166 to 2550 of the family's 2925-position model. Lineage: Eukaryota; Viridiplantae; Chlorophyta; Chloropicophyceae; Chloropicales; Chloropicaceae. The record is from RNAcentral.